GACGAACCGUGCAAACGUUGUUCGGAAUCACUGGGCUUAAAGGGCGCGUAGGCGGGCCAGCCAGUCUGUGGUGAAAGCCUCCAGCUUAACUGGAGAAGUGCCGUGGAUACUGCUGGCCUCGAGGAGGAUAGGGGCAUCUGGAACGGUCGGUGGAGCGGUGAAAUGCGUUGAUAUCGACCGGAACUCCGGUGGCGAAGGCGGGUCUCUGGGCCGAUACUGACGCUGAGGAGCGAAAGCGUGGGGAGCGAACAGG
RNAcentral lists this ribosomal RNA (253 nucleotides) under uncultured bacterium. RNAcentral describes it as "partial 16S ribosomal RNA". It matches the Rfam family "Bacterial small subunit ribosomal RNA", at positions 524 to 776 of the family's 1533-position model. The record is from RNAcentral.